This 523-nucleotide ribosomal RNA is filed under the name Rhinella castaneotica group sp. ABGD cluster 16. Its description in RNAcentral is "partial large subunit ribosomal RNA". It matches the Rfam family "Bacterial large subunit ribosomal RNA", at positions 1835 to 2560 of the family's 2925-position model. Lineage: Eukaryota; Metazoa; Chordata; Amphibia; Anura; Bufonidae. The record is from RNAcentral.
CUUGAACUUUAUAAGAGGUCCAGCCUGCCCAGUGACUCUGUUCAACGGCCGCGGUACCCUAACCGUGCGAAGGUAGCGUAAUCACUUGUUCUUUAAAUGUGGACUAGUAUGAAUGGCACUACGAGGGUUAUACUGUCUCCUUUUUCUAAUCAGUGAAACUAAUUUUCCCGUGAAGAAGCGGGAAUAUAAAUAUAAGACGAGAAGACCCUAUGGAGCUUUAAACAACCUAGCAAUUACUUCUAAAAUUAUAAAUUUCAGAAUACUCAUUUUUUAAGCAAUAUGUCUGCAAGUUUUUGGUUGGGGUGACCAUGGAGAAUAACACAACCUCCAUAUUGAAUGAAUUUUUAUUCUAAGCUAAAAAUUAUUAAUUGAAGCAUCAACACACUGACAUCUAUUGACCCAAUAUAUUUGAUCAACGAACCAAGUUACCCUAGGGAUAACAGCGCAAUCCACUUCAAGAGCCCCUAUCGACAAGUGGGUUUACGACCUCGAUGUUGGAUCAGGGUAUCCCAGUGGCGCAGCC